CAGCCGCGGUAAUACAGAGGGUGCGAGCGUUAAUCGGAUUUACUGGGCGUAAAGCGUGCGUAGGCGGCUUCUUAAGUCGGAUGUGAAAUCCCUGAGCUUAACUUAGGAAUUGCAUUCGAUACUGGGAAGCUAGAGUAUGGGAGAGGAUGGUAGAAUUCCAGGUGUAGCGGUGAAAUGCGUAGAGAUCUGGAGGAAUACCGAUGGCGAAGGCAGCCAUCUGGCCUAAUACUGACGCUGAGGUACGAAAGCAUGGGGAGCAAACAGGAUUAGAUACCCGAGUAGUCCCUGUCUCUUAUACACA
RNAcentral lists this ribosomal RNA (301 nucleotides) under uncultured bacterium. Its description in RNAcentral is "partial 16S ribosomal RNA". It matches the Rfam family "Bacterial small subunit ribosomal RNA", at positions 512 to 810 of the family's 1533-position model. The record is from RNAcentral.